AUUUGUAACUCUGUUAUUGAGCUUUUCAGCCACCGCCUCUCUUCGGUCUUCUUUUCUUACCUACUUCUUAGUUCUAUUCGCUCUUCUUAGGUGUGGUGUUAAAUUUUCAGUACCAACCUUCUCAAUAUUCAAUUUCUUAUGAGAGGCACAUUCAUAAGAUAUUGUGACAAAGUUCAUUGAGAGACUUAUUGAGGCUUAUUCCAGGUUGCAAUAUCAGAAUAGUUUUCCUGAGGUUAAAGUUGUCUUGAGUGUUGAUGUUUCUGGUGAAACACUAUGCCAAGAUCGCGUUAAUUUCAGGUCUUCCAUUUGAACUAUGUCCCAUCUCUCUAUUUCAAUACUGGAAUUUUCUUUUCAUUAGUAGCACUAACAAUUAUGCAUUCAAAGCUCCAUACAUAAGUUGGAAAUGGAUGAAGCUUGAUAGAUCAGUCUAACUUGUAUAUUGGUUAAACUAGAAAACUUCUUAUAAUGAGUUACACUACACUACAAGUCUCUUC
Nicotiana tabacum (common tobacco) is the source of this 494-nucleotide non-coding RNA. The record is from RefSeq and is a predicted model, not a curated record. Lineage: Eukaryota; Viridiplantae; Streptophyta; Magnoliopsida; Solanales; Solanaceae.